RNAcentral lists this ribosomal RNA (301 nucleotides) under uncultured bacterium. RNAcentral's name for it is "partial 16S ribosomal RNA". It matches the Rfam family "Bacterial small subunit ribosomal RNA", at positions 509 to 809 of the family's 1533-position model. The record is from RNAcentral.
CAGUCGCCGCGGUAAUACGAAGGGUGCAAGCGUUAAUCGGAAUUACUGGGCGUAAAGCGUGCGUAGGUGGUGAGUUAAGUCCGUUGUGAAAGCCCUGGGCUCAACCUGGGAAUUGCAGUGGAUACUGGGUCACUAGAGUGUGGUAGAGGAUAGUGGAAUUUCCGGUGUAGCAGUGAAAUGCGUAGAGAUCGGAAGGAACAUCUGUGGCGAAGGCGACUAUCUGGGCCAACACUGACACUGAGGCACGAGAGCGUGGGGAGCAAACAGGAUUAGAGACCCGGGUAGUCCCUGUCUCUUAUAU